RNAcentral lists this ribosomal RNA (255 nucleotides) under uncultured bacterium. RNAcentral describes it as "partial 16S ribosomal RNA". It matches the Rfam family "Bacterial small subunit ribosomal RNA", at positions 524 to 777 of the family's 1533-position model. The record is from RNAcentral.
UACGUAGGGGGCGAGCGUUAUCCAGAUUUACUGGGCGUAAAGCGCGUGUAGGCGGCUGGUUAGGUGUGAUGUGAAAUCCUCGGGCUCAACCCGAGAACUGCAUUGCAAACCGGCCUGGCUAGAGUGCAGGAGAGGGAAGCGGAAUUCCAGGUGUAGCGGUGAAAUGCGUAGAUAUCGGGAGGAACACCUGUGGCGAAGGCGGCCAUCUGGACAACUACUGACACUGAGACGCGAAAGCGUGGGUAGCAAACAGGG